UUGGGAAUCUUGCACAAUGGGGGCAACCCUGAUGCAGCGACGCCGCGUGGAAGACGAAGGCCCUAGGGUCGUAAAUUCCUUUUGUCGAGGAAGACUUAGGACGGUACUCGACGAAUAAGCACCGGCUAACUACGUGCCAGCAGCCGCGGUAAUACGUAGGGUGCAAGCGUUGUCCGGAUUUACUGGGCGUAAAGCGCUCGUAGGCGGUUUGUCAAGUGUGAAGUGAAAUCUCCAGGGCUCAACCCGGAAACUGCUUCGCAGACUGGCAGACUUGAGUGACUCAGAGGUGGAUAGAAUUCCUGGUGUAGCGGUGAAAUGCGUUGAUAUCAGGAGGAAUACCGACGGCGAAGGCAGUCCACUGGGAGUCUACUGACGCUGAGGAGCGAAAGCGUGGGUAGCAAA
Molecule: ribosomal RNA, 402 nt
Filed under: uncultured bacterium
Lineage: Bacteria
Description: bacterial SSU rRNA
Rfam family: Bacterial small subunit ribosomal RNA
Source: RNAcentral